Long non-coding RNA from Drosophila sulfurigaster albostrigata, 1063 nucleotides. RefSeq lists it as uncharacterized. The record is from RefSeq and is a predicted model, not a curated record. NCBI's taxonomy places the organism in Eukaryota, Metazoa, Arthropoda, Insecta, Diptera, Drosophilidae. The transcript is spliced from 2 exons.
UGUUUAUCUUUCGUUUUUUAUAUGAAGUAUCUUUGUAAAUUGCUUUCUUGAAUUCAAGAGACAACAUUAUAUUUCAUUUAGAUAAACAUUCCGAAUAAAUCAAUUUAAUUUUACGAUAUGACUUUUCGGACCGACUCCCUCUCUUUGCUAUCCUUGCAUUUUUGGGUUAAUGCGAUACAUACAUAAUAUGUACACAAAGAAAAUGGUAAAAGAUAUAUGGUGAAAUUAUUAUCAAAUAUAUGAAAUACCAACGAGUUCGCCUAGCUGCAUACAUAAAAUUCAAAGUAAAGGAGACCAAUUAAAAUGGCGCAGAGAAAAACGCGAAACUGUGAAAUGGACAUGUCUACAUUACGCCCAAUAAGAUAAAAUAGAACCAAAAGUACAAACCUCUUAGUAUAACUGUGUCUAUUUCUUGACAAAGAAUUGAGCAAUAAAUUGGUGAAUAAACAAAUUGAAAGUUCAACGACAACAAGAACAGGAACAAGGAUAACGACAACGACGACGACGACAACGAUGAGAACGACAACGGCGAGAACAACGCCGUGCGAGACAUGCGAGCCAACUACAUGGUAGAAAAUUUACGCAAUUUUGGUCUACGCAGAAAACUGUACCACCACCCGACGAGGACGAUGACAACAACGACGACGACGACGAGGACGAUGUGAGAGUGAACAACAGCGACGAGUGCGCACCAUUUGCUAACGCGAGAGCGCAAGCGAGAUGCAUGCUGACUAACAGGACGAAAAACAUUCGGAAUAGGCGAGACAAAAGUAACGAGUCGAAGUCAGGAGAGCGAACUGCCAAAUGUUUCUGUGUGUGUGUGUGUUCGCUUGUAUGCGUGUGCCAUUUGGUAUAUAAGUAAAAUGCAUUGUGUAUAUGAAAAUUUGAAAAUUUAUAACUCACUUGUGUGCGCUUCGUUGAGUUUUGCCUCUCGUUUACUCUCUCUCUUUUUUUUAAUAUAAUUCUCUCUCUUUUUUGUGUUUCCCUCUCUUUUUCUCUUGCUUGGUGGUUGUAUAGAUCCCAAUUGUUUAUUGUUUGAAUUGAAGUUUUAGUUUAUUGCACA